GUACGGCUCAUCUAUAAAUAACCAGCGUAUUGAGUCCUGGUGGUCUAUAUUUAGAAAGGGAAGGUCUCAGUUCUGGAUGGAGUUAUUUGCCGACCUUAGAGAUGCCGGAUACUUCAACGGGAGUCAUGAGCAUCAAUGCCUAUUGAGAUAUUGCUUUGGUGAUGUUAUUCAGAAGGACUUGGAUGAGUGUGUGAGACUGUGGAACAGCCACAGGAUUCGCCCUUCCAGAACAGCAGCAUGUCCAGGAGGAGUGCCCAAUGAACUCUACUACUUACCACACAGGUUUGGCUCCAGAGACUGCGGAUU
Molecule: long non-coding RNA, 306 nt
Organism: Coregonus clupeaformis (lake whitefish)
Lineage: Eukaryota; Metazoa; Chordata; Actinopteri; Salmoniformes; Salmonidae
Exons: 3
Source: RefSeq, a predicted model, not a curated record